Molecule: long non-coding RNA, 451 nt
Organism: Rhodamnia argentea
Lineage: Eukaryota; Viridiplantae; Streptophyta; Magnoliopsida; Myrtales; Myrtaceae
Exons: 2
Source: RefSeq, a predicted model, not a curated record
UAGUAUUGCAUCAUAUGUGGACAAAAAGUUCAGGUCAACACAAUGUAUAUGACAUAUUACUUAACACAUACUCGCAUAUGAAGCUUUACACAUGAAACCAUAUUCGAAUGAACUGAUUAUCUGCUUUCUCAUAAUAUCACUAUGAUAAAGUGUCUGUUUGGUAAAGCUAUGGCUUUGCUGUAGUUGUUUGUAUUAUCACUGUGCAGUGAAGCAUUGUAAUUUAUGUGUUUAGAAGUAAAUGUUUCUACACUGGAACAUCCCUUUUCCUUCCCCGAUUCUUUAGAUUUACAACUGGAAAUUUUUCAUAUGGGUAUUCGAAAGAGUGGAAGAGAGAUAUCCCUAGAAACAGGAGCGCUCUUGCCCUUAUGCAAAUUUAGUAGGUAAGGAGUAUUAAAUAAGAACAGAUGCGACAUAUUGAAUUACAUAAGUACAUAAGAGCGAAGAGAGAAGG